GUAGGUGAACCUGCGGAAGGAUCAUUAAUGAAGCCUGGAAACCCUCCCCUCGGGGACGGGAGACCUCUCUCUCAUCACACACCCUUGUGAACCCACACUGUUGCUUCGGCGGCAAACGGUCGGAGACGACCACCGCCGGAGGAUUCUUUGCCAAACAACUGCCCAACGAAGCGUCUGAACCACAAGCAAGAAAAAAAUUGUAACAAAACUUUCAACAAUGGAUCUCUUGGCUCUG
RNAcentral lists this unclassified non-coding RNA (235 nucleotides) under rhizosphere metagenome. Its description in RNAcentral is "partial ribosomal RNA internal transcribed spacer region". The record is from RNAcentral.